CACGUAAGGGGCGAGCNUUGUUCGGAAUUAUUGGGCGUAAAGGGUGCGUAGGCGGUUAUGUAAGUCUGUGGUGAAAUGGCAGGGCUCAACCCUGUCACUGCCAUGGAAACUGUAUAACUGGAGUCAUGGAGGGGUAGUUGGAAUUCCGCGUGUAGGGGUGAAAUCUGUAGAUAUGCGGAAGAACACCGGUGGCGAAGGCGAACUACUAGCCAAUGACUGACGCUGAGGCACGAAANUCGGGGGAGCAAACAGGAUUAGAUACCCUGGUAGUCCGCACUAUAAACGAUGUACACUAGGUGUU
This 301-nucleotide ribosomal RNA is filed under the name unidentified spirochete. RNAcentral's name for it is "bacterial SSU rRNA". It matches the Rfam family "Bacterial small subunit ribosomal RNA", at positions 524 to 824 of the family's 1533-position model. The record is from RNAcentral. Lineage: Bacteria; Pseudomonadati; Spirochaetota; Spirochaetia; Spirochaetales.